UGCGAGAGUAUCCCAACUGGCAGAGGAAGUAGACUUAGAAUCUAUUCAGUGGGGGUUCGAAUCCCCCCUCUUGCAU
RNAcentral lists this transfer RNA (76 nucleotides) under Enterococcus phage vB_OCPT_CCS1. Its description in RNAcentral is "tRNA-Leu". It matches the Rfam family "tRNA". From Rfam's summary of the family: Transfer RNA (tRNA) molecules are approximately 80 nucleotides in length. The record is from RNAcentral. Lineage: Duplodnaviria; Heunggongvirae; Uroviricota; Caudoviricetes; Herelleviridae.